Molecule: ribosomal RNA, 651 nt
Filed under: Triticum aestivum (bread wheat)
Lineage: Eukaryota; Viridiplantae; Streptophyta; Magnoliopsida; Poales; Poaceae
Description: partial small subunit ribosomal RNA
Source: RNAcentral
AUGAGGACCUUGUGUUGGAACUAUCAUGGGAUUGGCGACCCUGCGACAGUUAACGAGCUUCGUGCUCUAGUGCAGGACAGUGCGUCGUCGGUCCUUUGUGUUGUGGAGACGCAAAUUGCAAAGAAUCGAGUGGAGGGUUUGGCGGUGUCUUUAGGUUUCCAGCAUAGUUUUGCAGUAGCUAGUAGUGGGAGGAGUGGAGGUAUUUGUAUUUUUUGGAAGUCAGACGUUAAUCUUGUAAUAAAAAACUUUUCGCAGUAUCACAUUGACUCCUGGGUGUCGAUCCCGGGGUUGGAUCAGUGGCGGCUUACUUGUUUCUAUGGGGAGGCGAACAGAAGCUUGCGAUAUAAAACAUGGGAGACUAUGAAGAGAUUGAGGGGGGAGAGUACCCUGCCGUGGUUCUGCAUCGGCGAUUUUAACGAGAUACUUCGACGGGAGGAGCAGUUGGGGCCUAAUACCCGUGAUAGUGCACAAAUGGAGGGAUUCAGGGAUGCUGUGGAUGUAUGUGGCUUGGCGGAUAUAGGAUAUUUGGGUCUAGACUGGACUUUCGAGAAGCGAGUGACGGGUGGUCAGUUUUGCAGGGUUCGGCUAGACCGAGCUUUGGCCUCACCCAGCUGGUCUUUACUAUUUCCUUUGCAACCCUGGAACAUCUAA